Molecule: ribosomal RNA, 482 nt
Filed under: uncultured bacterium
Lineage: Bacteria
Description: partial 16S ribosomal RNA
Rfam family: Bacterial small subunit ribosomal RNA
Source: RNAcentral
AUUGAACGCUGGCGGCAUGCUUUACACAUGCAAGUCGAACGGUAACAGGCCGCAAGGUGCUGACGAGUGGCGAACGGGUGAGUAAUGCAUCGGAACGUGCCCAGUCGUGGGGGAUAACUACUCGAAAGAGUAGCUAAUACCGCAUACGAUCUAUGGAUGAAAGCGGGGGACCGUAAGGCCUCGCGCGAUUGGAGCGGCCGAUGUCAGAUUAGGUAGUUGGUGGGGUAAAGGCUCACCAAGCCAACGAUCUGUAGCUGGUCUGAGAGGAUAACCAGCCACACUGGGACUGAGACACGGCCCAGACUCCUACGGGAGGCAGCAGUGGGGAAUUUUGGACAAUGGGCGCAAGCCUGAUCCAGCAAUGCCGCGUGCAGGAAGAAGGCCUUCGGGUUGUAAACUGCUUUUGUACGGAACGAAACGGCUCUGGUUAAUACCCGGGGCUAAUGACGGUACCGUAAGAAUAAGCACCGGCUAACUACGUG